ACGGGUAACGGGGAAUCAGGGUUCGAUUCCGGAGAGGGAGCCUGAGAAAUGGCUACCACAUCCAAGGGAGGCAGCAGGCGCGCAAAUUACCCAAUCCAGAAUCUGGGAGGUGGUGACGAGAAAUACUAGAUGGUUUCCUAACGGAUGCCAUACUGGAAUGGACGUAAUUUAAGAAAUUCGAUGAGUAACAACUGGAGGGCAAGUCUGGUGCCAGCAGCCGCGGUAAUUCCAGCUCCAGUAGUGUAUCUUAAAGUUGCUGCGUUUAAAACGCUCGUAGUUGGAUUACGCAGUGUAAUCUAGUCGAUUGGCACGAUGCUGCGCAAAAUUCAAUUGAUGCCAUUCUCAGCUACGGUUGAUCCUGGCUGUGAGUGUUGUUGAUUGAAGCAGUGCGUGUCGAUUAAACGCUAGUUUACACUACUUUUUCGUGAGGAUGGCGGUUGACCUUUAUUGCGUCGGCAGUCGUGUCUUACGAAGCGUGCCUUGAAUAAAUCAGAGUGCUCAAAACAGGCUUUAGCUUGAAUAUCGAUAGCAUGGAACGAACAAUUGUGUUAAAUGUGUCACAGUGAGAAUUUGGGAGGGUUUUAUAUUCACCCAAGUGCCCUCACUUUGACACAGCACCAACCACCAUUAUCGGAUGUUGGUUUCCGUGAUGGGGUGAUGAUUAAAAGGAGCGGUUGGGGGCAUUGGUAUUUUGCCGCGAGAGGUGAAAUUCUUGGACCGGCAAAGGACUAACAAAUGCGAAGGCAUCUGUCAAGACCGUUUCCAUUAAUCAAGAACGAUAGUGAGAGGUUCGAAGACGAUCAGAUACCGUCCUAGUUCUCACUGUAAACUAUGCCAACCCGGGAUCAGUUUUGAGCUCUGUUAUGCUCAUGGUUGGUCCCCCUGGGAAACCUCAAGUUUUUAGGUUACGGGGGGAGUAUGGUCGCAAGGCUGAAACUUAAAGGAAUUGACGGAAGGGCACCACCAGGGGUGGAGCCUGCGGCUUAAUUUGACUCAACACGGGAAAACUCACCUGGUCCGGACAUCGAAAGGAUAGACAGACUGAUAGAUCUUUCUUGAUACGGUGGAUGGUGGUGCAUGGCCGUUCUUAGUUCGUGGAGUGAUCUGUCAGGUUGAUUCCGGUAACGGACGAGACCAUAAUUUUCAUUU
This 1149-nucleotide ribosomal RNA is filed under the name Acauda hoffmani. Its description in RNAcentral is "bacterial SSU rRNA". It matches the Rfam family "Eukaryotic small subunit ribosomal RNA", at positions 355 to 1356 of the family's 1831-position model. The record is from RNAcentral. Lineage: Eukaryota; Metazoa; Cnidaria; Myxozoa; Bivalvulida; Myxobilatidae.